UACGUAGGGCGCAAGCGUUGUCCGGAAUUAUUGGGCGUAAAGAGCUCGUAGGCGGCUUGUCACGUCGGGUGUGAAAGCCCGGGGCUUGACCCCGGGUCUGCAUUCGAUACGGGCUGGCUAGAGUGUGGUAGGGGAGAUCGGAAUUCCUGGUGUAGCGGUGAAAUGCGCAGAUAUCAGGAGGAACACCGGUGGCGAAGGCGGGUCUCUGGGCCGAUACUGACACUGAGGAGCGAAAGCCAGGGGAGCAAACGGG
Molecule: ribosomal RNA, 253 nt
Filed under: uncultured bacterium
Lineage: Bacteria
Description: partial 16S ribosomal RNA
Rfam family: Bacterial small subunit ribosomal RNA
Source: RNAcentral